ACAUGCUGACAACAUCUGGGAAAGCACGAGAAGAGUUUUCUGCUGGGGAACACCUUGUUUGAAGAAGUUGAUGGCCAUUGUGGCUGGUGCAGCACUUUGCCUGAUGAUGUGCUAUGCCGCAAUCUGGUAUUGCUGGAAGAGAAAAUGGCUCUCCUGUGCAUCUCCAGAAGACCAGCCUACAAACACAGGCAAUGACAACCUGAUAGUUUAUCCCAGCUCUUCACUUCCGCCCCUAUUUGCCCUGCCAUGGCUGCAUCACCAUCAUGAGUCCAUCCCAAAACCCACCCCUCCACAACGAGACCCUCUGCCCCUGAGCCCCCUGGUCCUGUUCCCCGGCCAGGAAUGAAGGUGGGCAGCCCUUGCCUGCCAGGGCAGGGCUUGGCCCACAUUUUAUGUUCAAAUAAAGAGUUGGAGAUUUCA
This is a long non-coding RNA of Passer domesticus (house sparrow), 420 nucleotides long. RefSeq lists it as uncharacterized. The transcript is spliced from 2 exons. NCBI's taxonomy places the organism in Eukaryota, Metazoa, Chordata, Aves, Passeriformes, Passeridae. The record is from RefSeq and is a predicted model, not a curated record.